GCAACACAGUUCUUUUUCUCAACAAAGACAAAUCUUUUGAAGGAGAGUUAAAGGAAGAGAACAGGCCCAUCUAGUGAUAGUAAAAAGAAAGGCAUGACAUCUGGGUUGCUGGUUGGCAUGGACAGAGAGGUUGUCCAGAGGCACCUGGGUGUACUAGGAUAUCUUGGAGGACAGGAGAUGUACCACAAAACUGGAGGAUGGUGAAUGUUUUUCCAAUAUUCAAAAAAGGGUGGAAGGAUGACCCAGGAAACUACAGGAUAGUUGGUCUGACUCUAUCCCAGAGAAGAUAUUGGAAACAUUUUAAGGAAGUCAAUGUGAAAGCAUCUGAAGGACAACUUGGCAACCCAGAGAAGUCAGCAUAGAUUUGUCUCCAACAGGUCCUGCUAUACCAACCUAGUUCUUUGAUCAAGUGACAAGCUUACUGAAUUGUGGCAAUGAUGUUGACAUUGUUUAUCUGGAUUUUAGUAAAACAUUUCACAGAACCUCCCACAAUGUUCUGAUGGGAAAGUGAUGCAGAGCAGAUUGGGCUCCAGGUUAGUUGGGUGAAUGGACAACUUGUUGAAGAUCUGCACCCAAAGUAGUUGUCAAUAGCAUUUCAUCUGAUUAGAAAAAAGUGUCCAGUAGGAUGCCAUAGGGCUUGCUUCUGGACCCAUUGCUUUUAAAAUAUUUUUAUAAACAAUCUGGAUGAGGAGGUGGAAGGUCUACUCAUUACAAAUGCAAAUGACAUCCAGCAGCAAAGACAAUAGAAGAUAAAAAUAGAAUUCAAUUAGAUUUGAACAGGUUGAGAAAGUGAGUGGAUGUGAACAAGAUGAAAUUCAACAAGGAUAAAUGCAGAGUUCUACAUCUGGGUAACAAAAAUGAGAAGCACCUAUACAGGAUGGGAGAUACAUUUCUGAGUAAUGGUAUGCGUGACAAGAUGUAGAGGUACAAGGAGACUGUGAGCUCAAUAUGAGCAGUCAUUGUGAUGCAACAACAAAAAAGGCUAAUUCAGUCUUGGGAUGUAUCAAAAGAGGCAUACCAUUCUAAACACAAGAUGUCAUAGUCCUGCUGUACAGUGCAUUGAUCAGGCCACACCUGGAGUACUGUGUGCAGUUCUGGAGACCUCACUUCAAAAAAUGUGGGCAGAAUGGAAUGAAUGCAAAGGAACAGGAUGAUCAGGAGCCUUAAUUAUGCUUAAAGACUUACUGGUCGAUUAUGCACAAGGCAUCAGCUGCACAAUGGGGGCAAAUGUUUGUCACUGCAAGAUUUCUUAUACGUAUGUAUCUCUUCAAGCUCUGCUUUCACUUUCUAUUCUUCCCAU
Long non-coding RNA from Sphaerodactylus townsendi, 1300 nucleotides. RefSeq lists it as uncharacterized. The transcript is spliced from 3 exons. The record is from RefSeq and is a predicted model, not a curated record. Lineage: Eukaryota; Metazoa; Chordata; Lepidosauria; Squamata; Sphaerodactylidae.